AUUGAACGCUGGCGGCAAGCUUAACACAUGCAAGUCGAGCGGGGUGAUGGUGCUUGCACUAUCACUUAGCGGCGGACGGGUGAGUAAUGCUUAGGAAUCUGCCUAUUAGGGGGGGACAACAUCUCGAAAGGGAUGCUAAUACCGCAUACGUCCUACGGGAGAAAGCAGGGGAUCACUUGUGACCUUGCGCUAAUAGAUGAGCCUAAGUCGGAUUAGCUAGUUGGGGGGGUAAAGGCCUACCAAGGCGACGAUCUGUAGCGGGUCUGAGAGGAUGGUCCGCCACACUGGGACUGAGACACGGCCCAGACUCCUACGGGAGGCAGAAGUGGGGAAUACUGGACAAUGGGGGGAACCCUGAUCCAGCCAUGCCGCGUGUGUGAAGAAGGCCUUAUGGUUGUAAAGCACUUUAAGCGAGGAGGAGGCUCUUUUGGUUAAUACCCAAGAUGAGUGGACGUUACUCGCAGAAUAAGCACCGGCUAACUCUGUGCCAGCCGCCGCGGUAA
Molecule: ribosomal RNA, 503 nt
Filed under: uncultured bacterium
Lineage: Bacteria
Description: partial 16S ribosomal RNA
Rfam family: Bacterial small subunit ribosomal RNA
Source: RNAcentral